This 406-nucleotide ribosomal RNA is filed under the name uncultured bacterium. Its description in RNAcentral is "partial 16S ribosomal RNA". It matches the Rfam family "Bacterial small subunit ribosomal RNA", at positions 30 to 526 of the family's 1533-position model. The record is from RNAcentral.
AUUGAACGCUGGCGGCAGGCUUAACACAUGCAAGUCGAGCGAGCGGCGGAGGGGUGAGUAAUGUCUGGGAAACUGCCUGAUGGAGGGGGAUAACUACUGUAAACGGUAGCUAAUACCGCAUACCAUCAGAUGUGCCCAGAGGGGAUUAGCUAGUAGGUGGGGUAAUGGCUCACCAAGGCGACGAUCCCUAGCUGGUCUGAGAGGCUGACCGGCCACACUGGAACUGAGACACGGUCCAGACUCCUACGGGAGGCAGCAGUGGGGAAUAUUGCGCAAUGGGCGCAAGCCUGAUGCAGCCAUGCCGCGUGUGUGAAGAAGGCCUUCGGGUUGUAAAGCACUGUCAGCGAGGAGGCGUUACUCGCAGAAGAAGCACCGGCUAACUCCGUGCCAGCAGCCGCGGUAAUUC